Molecule: ribosomal RNA, 531 nt
Filed under: uncultured bacterium
Lineage: Bacteria
Description: bacterial SSU rRNA
Rfam family: Bacterial small subunit ribosomal RNA
Source: RNAcentral
CUCCUACGGGAGGCAGCAGUGGGGAAUCUUGCGCAAUGGCCGAAAGGCUGACGCAGCGACGCCGCGUGUGGGAGGAAGCUCUUCGGGGUGUAAACCACUGUUGCCCGGGACGAACGACGAGUUCUGACUCGUGUGACGGUACCGGGUGAGGAAGCACCGGCUAACUCUGUGCCAGCAGCCGCGGUAAUACAGAGGGUGCGAGCGUUGUCCGGAAUCACUGGGCGUAAAGGGCGCGUAGGCGGCUCGGUAAGGUUGCGGUGAAAGCCCGGGGCUCAACCCCGGGUCGGCCGUGGCAACUGCUGGGCUGGAGCACUGUAGAGGCAGGUGGAAUUCCGGGUGUAGCGGUGGAAUGCGUAGAGAUCCGGAAGAACACCGGUGGCGAAGGCGGCCUGCUGGGCAGUGGCUGACGCUGAGGCGCGACAGCGUGGGGAGCAAACAGGAUUAGAUACCCUGGUAGUCCACGCCGUAAACGAUGGGCACUAGAUGCUUGGGGGAGCGACCCUCCGAGUGUCGGCGCUAACGCAUUAAGUG